ACCCAGUCUCCAUCCUCCCUGUCUGCAUCUGUAGGAGACAGAGUCACCAUCACUUGCCGGGCAAGUCAGAGCAUUAGCAGCUAUUUAAAUUGGUAUCAGCAGAAACCAGGGAAAGCCCCUAAGCUCCUGAUCUAUGCUGCAUCCAGUUUGCAAAGUGGGGUCCCAUCAAGGUUCAGUGGCAGUGGAUCUGGGACAGAUUUCACUCUCACCAUCAGCAGUCUGCAACCUGAAGAUUUUGCAACUUACUACUGUCAACAGAGUUACAGUACCCUUCACUUUCGGCCCUGGGACCAAAGUGGAUAUCAAACG
RNAcentral lists this long non-coding RNA (309 nucleotides) under Homo sapiens (human). RNAcentral's name for it is "non-protein coding lnc-EIF2AK3-26:1". Lineage: Eukaryota; Metazoa; Chordata; Mammalia; Primates; Hominidae. The record is from RNAcentral.